RNAcentral lists this ribosomal RNA (441 nucleotides) under uncultured bacterium. RNAcentral's name for it is "partial 16S ribosomal RNA". It matches the Rfam family "Bacterial small subunit ribosomal RNA", at positions 338 to 795 of the family's 1533-position model. The record is from RNAcentral.
CCUACGGGAGGCUGCAGUGGGGAAUAUUGCACAAUGGGGGAAACCCUGAUGCAGCGACGCCGCGUGAGUGAAGAAGUAUUUCGGUAUGUAAAGCUCUAUCAGCAGGGAAGAAGAAAGACGGUACCUGACUAAGAAGCCCCGGCUAACUACGUGCCAGCAGCCGCGGUAAUACGUAGGGGGCAAGCGUUAUCCGGCUUUACUGGGUGUAAAGGGAGCGUAGACGGCUGUGCAAGUCUGAAGUGAAAGCCCAGGGCUCAACCCUGGGACUGCUUUGGAAACUGUGGAGCUAGAGUGCUGGAGCGGUAAGUGGAAUGCCUGGGGUAGCGGUGAAAGGCGUAGAGAUCAGGCGGAACACCAGUUGCGAAGGCGGCUUACUGAACAGUAACUGACGUUGAGGCUCGAAAGCGUGGGGAGCAAACAGGAUUAGAUACCCGGGUAGUC